Molecule: ribosomal RNA, 253 nt
Filed under: uncultured bacterium
Lineage: Bacteria
Description: partial 16S ribosomal RNA
Rfam family: Bacterial small subunit ribosomal RNA
Source: RNAcentral
UACAGAGGCCCCAAGCGUUACUGAGAAUCACUGGGUUUAAAGGGUGCGUAGGUGGCGCGUUAAGUCCGUUGUGAAAUCCCUGGGCUCAACCCAGGAAUUGCUUCGGAUACUGGCGUGCUUGAGGCUAGUAGGGGUCACUGGAAUUGACGGUGGAGCGGUGAAAUGCGUAGAUAUCGUCAGGAACGCCAAUGGUGAAGACAGGUGACUGGGCUAGUUCUGACACUGAGGCACGAAAGCGUGGGGAGCGAACGGG